UACGUAGGUGGCGAGCGUUGUCCGGAAUUACUGGGCGUAAAGGGCGCGUAGGCGGCCGCCUAAGUCAGACGUGAAAUCCCUCGGCUCAACCGGGGAACUGCGUCUGAUACUGGGUGGCUUGAAUCCGGGAGAGGGAUGCGGAAUUCCAGGUGUAGCGGUGAAAUGCGUAGAUAUCUGGAGGAACACCGGUGGCGAAGGCGGCAUCCUGGACCGGCAUUGACGCUGAGGCGCGAAAGCCAGGGGAGCAAACGGG
This 253-nucleotide ribosomal RNA is filed under the name uncultured bacterium. Its description in RNAcentral is "partial 16S ribosomal RNA". It matches the Rfam family "Bacterial small subunit ribosomal RNA", at positions 524 to 776 of the family's 1533-position model. The record is from RNAcentral.